CAGAGAAUAGUUUAAAGGUAGAACUCUUGGUUUGGGACUAAGUAGUAGGGGUUCGAUUCCCUUUUCUCUGA
Molecule: non-coding RNA, 71 nt
Organism: Monosiga brevicollis
Lineage: Eukaryota; Choanoflagellata; Craspedida; Salpingoecidae
Source: Rfam